RNAcentral lists this long non-coding RNA (754 nucleotides) under Anser brachyrhynchus (Pink-footed goose). RNAcentral describes it as "lncRNA (ENSABRG00000002413.1)". Lineage: Eukaryota; Metazoa; Chordata; Aves; Anseriformes; Anatidae. The record is from RNAcentral.
GUUUUCAAAGCUGCAUGAGGAGGAACUCUCUCCUGUGUCAAUGGAAAUACAGGAAGGCAAGCUGUCUGCAUGCUACCUGCUUUCCAAGAUAACAUUUUAUUAUAGGUUACCAUGACUCCUGAGCUGGCAUCACAUCCAGUAAAGAUGUUUGUGGUGCUUUUCAGAAAGUCAGCUGGAAGGAGCUGCUGAUGGAAGAGCCACCACAGCCAGGGUCAUCUCACCAAGCAGCUCCAUGAGAAGGAAGAGGGAAGAGGAGGAGGAGAGGGGGGAGUCAGCUGGGAAAAGUUUUGCAAAACAGCACCGUGGAGAAGCUGGGAUGGGGAAAAAUGGCGAGUGCUGUUGGGAAAACCUGGCUGGACUCAGUGCUUUAGCCCUCUACUUACACGUGUAUCAUGGAAGGGAAAAACAACGAUCUCCAUUUGGAUUUAGCUCUCCUUUUGCUCCUCUUACACCACUUCAGAAGUGUUUCACCAUCAACCUCCUCAGGGGGCUGCUCCAGGACUCCGAAGAGGAGCUUUGGGAAGAGCUUGACCUGUCCUCUGAGCUCCUUCCAGCCAAGGAGAGCAAGAUCUCAGCUGCUCCACCGCUCUGUGAAAGACUCUCACUCCUUUCCUUAGUGCAAAUUGUGACGCACUGCUGAUGGUGGGGUCUCCCUGGGCACAAAGAAAUGAUAGGAACUCACUGGGACCCAGCUCCCUUCACUUUGGAGAUCACACAGCUCUCACAAGGGCCUCUGCAAAAACAAACAAACAAA